Molecule: non-coding RNA, 21 nt
Filed under: Arabidopsis thaliana (thale cress)
Lineage: Eukaryota; Viridiplantae; Streptophyta; Magnoliopsida; Brassicales; Brassicaceae
Source: RNAcentral
CCAUAUGACCGAAUGCACUUU